RNAcentral lists this ribosomal RNA (524 nucleotides) under uncultured bacterium. RNAcentral's name for it is "partial 16S ribosomal RNA". It matches the Rfam family "Bacterial small subunit ribosomal RNA", at positions 28 to 523 of the family's 1533-position model. The record is from RNAcentral.
GACGAACGCUGGCGGCGUGCCUAAUACAUGCAAGUCGAACGAAGCUGUUUUAACUGGUGCUUGCACCGACUUAAACAACUGAGUGGCGAACGGGUGAGUAACACGUGGGUAACCUGCCCCAAAGCGGGGGAUAACAUUUGGAAACAGAUGCUAAUACCGCAUAACCACAGAAACCACAUGGUUUCUGUGUCAAAGAUGGUUUCGGCUAUCACUUCGGGAUGGACCCGCGGCGUAUUAGCUAGUUGGUAAGGUAAUGGCUUACCAAGGCAAUGAUACGUAGCCGAACUGAGAGGUUGAUCGGCAACAUUGGGACUGAGACACGGCCCAAACUCCUACGGGAAGCAGCAGUAGGGAAUCUUCCACAAUGGACGAAAGUCUGAUGGAGCAACGCCGCGUGAGUGAAGAAGGUUUUCGGAUCGUAAAACUCUGUUGUCAGAGAAGAACGUGUGCGAGAGUAACUGCUCGUGCAGUGACGGUAUCUGGCCAGAAAGCCACGGCUAACUACGUGCCAGCCGCCGCAGUAA